UUAACUAACAUGCAAGUCGAACGAUGAAGCCUAGCUUGUCUAGUGGAGUAGUGGCGAACGGGUGAGUAAUACGUGAGUAACCUACCUUUAACUACUGGGAGUAAGCCUGGGAAACUAGGGUCUAAUACCGGAUACGACCAAUCUCCGCAUGGGUGUUGGUGGAAAGCGUUAUGUAGUGGUUAUAGAUGGGCGUCACGGCCUAUCAGCUUGUUGGUGAGGUAACGGCUCACCAAGGCGACGACGGGUAGGCCGGCCUGAGAGGGUGACCGGCCACACUGGGACUGAGACACGGCCCAGACUCCUACGGGAGGCAGCAGUGGGGAAUAUUGCACAAUGGGCGCAAGCCUGAUGCAGCGACGCCGCGUGAGGGAUGACGGCCUUUGGGUUGUAAACCUCUGUUAGCAGGGAAGAAGAGAGAUUGACGGUACCUGCAGAGAAAGCGCCGGCUAACUACGUG
RNAcentral lists this ribosomal RNA (457 nucleotides) under uncultured Rothia sp. Its description in RNAcentral is "bacterial SSU rRNA". It matches the Rfam family "Bacterial small subunit ribosomal RNA", at positions 48 to 507 of the family's 1533-position model. The record is from RNAcentral. Lineage: Bacteria; Bacillati; Actinomycetota; Actinomycetes; Micrococcales; Micrococcaceae.